RNAcentral lists this transfer RNA (74 nucleotides) under Polystyrenella longa. It matches the Rfam family "tRNA". From Rfam's summary of the family: Transfer RNA (tRNA) molecules are approximately 80 nucleotides in length. Their secondary structure includes four short double-helical elements and three loops (D, anti-codon, and T loops). Further hydrogen bonds mediate the characteristic L-shaped molecular structure. tRNAs have two regions of fundamental functional importance: the anti-codon, which is responsible for specific mRNA codon recognition, and the 3' end, to which the tRNAs corresponding amino acid is attached (by aminoacyl-tRNA synthetases). tRNAs cope with the degeneracy of the genetic code in two manners: having more than one tRNA (with a specific anti-codon) for a particular amino acid; and 'wobble' base-pairing, i.e. permitting non-standard base-pairing at the 3rd anti-codon position. Lineage: Bacteria; Pseudomonadati; Planctomycetota; Planctomycetia; Planctomycetales; Planctomycetaceae. The record is from Rfam by way of RNAcentral.
GGGCGAUUAGCUCAGUUGGUUAGAGCGCCACGUUGACAUCGUGGAGGUCACAAGUUCGAAUCUUGUAUCGCCCA